AUGAACAAAACUCCUAUACUAAUUGUAUAAAUAUUAUAUUGGAAGCACAUACCCUUUAUCAUGCAAUGUAAGCUAAGAACGAAAAACAAAAGAGAGAAACAAGUAUCCAAUAAUGAGCAUGCACGAUCACGAUCCAUCUUCUUCGAUUGACCUAUUAAAGGGAAAAAAGAGAGAGAAGUGGGGACCCUAAAGUGAAGAGACAUCACUUUUUUAAUCUUAAUUCGCUUGCAUUUCACUGGGAAGGCAUUAGUAUCUUCUGAGACCUUUUAGUUAGGACCACUCUUUUGCACCUCAU
This 295-nucleotide long non-coding RNA is filed under the name Brassica napus (rape). RNAcentral's name for it is "long non-coding RNA (BNAP_LNC005395)". Lineage: Eukaryota; Viridiplantae; Streptophyta; Magnoliopsida; Brassicales; Brassicaceae. The record is from RNAcentral.